RNAcentral lists this ribosomal RNA (377 nucleotides) under uncultured bacterium. Its description in RNAcentral is "bacterial SSU rRNA". It matches the Rfam family "Bacterial small subunit ribosomal RNA", at positions 521 to 896 of the family's 1533-position model. The record is from RNAcentral.
UAAUACGUAGGGGGCAAGCGUUGUCCGGAUUUAUUGGGCGUAAAGGGCACGCAGGCGGUCUUUCAAGUUCUGAGUGACAGGUGGUGGCUCAACUGCCACAGGGCUUGGAAAACUGAAAGACUUGAGGACUUCAGAGGGAUGCGGAAUUCCAGGUGGAGCGGUGAAAUGCGUAGAGAUCUGGAAGAACACCAAAGGCGAAGGCAGCAUCCUGGGAAGUAUCUGACGCUCAUGUGCGAAAGCUAGGGGAGCGAACGGGAUUAGAUACCCCGGUAGUCCUAGCCGUAAACGAUGACCACUAGACGUAGGGGGUAUCGACCCCCUCUGUGUCAAAGCUAACGCAUGAAGUGGUCCGCCUGGGGAGUACGGUCGCAAGAUUA